RNAcentral lists this ribosomal RNA (356 nucleotides) under uncultured Pseudomonas sp. RNAcentral describes it as "bacterial SSU rRNA". It matches the Rfam family "Bacterial small subunit ribosomal RNA", at positions 30 to 383 of the family's 1533-position model. Lineage: Bacteria; Pseudomonadati; Pseudomonadota; Gammaproteobacteria; Pseudomonadales; Pseudomonadaceae. The record is from RNAcentral.
UGAACGCUGGCGGCAGGGCCUAACACAUGCAAGUCGAGCGGAUGACAGGAGCUUGCUCCUGAAUUCAGCGGCGGACGGGUGAGUAAUGCCUAGGAAUCUGCCUGGUAGUGGGGGUACAACGUUUCGAAAGGAACGCUAAUACCGCAUACGUCCUUACGGGAGAAAGCAGGGGACCUUCGGGCCUUGCGCUAUCAGAUGAGACCUAGGUCGGAUUAGCUAGUUGGUGAGGUAACUGGCUCACCAAGGCGACGAUCCGUAACUGGUCUGAGAGGAUGAUCAGUCACACUGGAACUGAGACACGGUCCAGACUCCUACGGGAGGCAGCAGUGGGGAAUAUUGGACAAUGGGCGGAAGCC